AUACCCUGGUAGUCCAUGCCGUAAACGGUGGGAACUAGGUGUGGGUCUCAUUCCACGAGAUCCGUGCCGCAGCUAACGCAUUAAGUUCCCCGCCUGGGGAGUACGGCCGCAAGGCUGAAACUUAAAGGAAUUGGCGGGGGAGCACCACAACGGGUGGAGCUUGCGGUUUAAUUGGAUUCAACGCCGGAAAUCUUACCGGGACCGACAGCAAUAUGAAGGCCAGGCUGAAGACUUUGCCGGAUUAGCUGAGAGGUGGUGCAUGGCCGUCGUCAGUUCGUACUGUGAAGCAUCCUGUUAAGUCAGGCAACGAGCGAGACCCACGCCCACAGUUGCCAGCGUACUCUCCGGAGUGACGGGUACACUGUGGGGACCGCCGCUGCUAAAGCGGAGGAAGGAAUGGGCAACGGUAGGUCAGUAUGCCCCGAAUAUCCCGGGCUACACGCGAGCUACAAUGGUUGGUACAGUGGGUAUCUACCCCGAAAGGGGAUGGAAAUCUCCUAAAGCCAAUCUUAGUUCGGAUUGAGGGCUGCAACUCGCCCUCAUGAAGCUGGAAUCCGUAGUAAUCGC
Molecule: ribosomal RNA, 567 nt
Filed under: uncultured Methanosarcinales archaeon
Lineage: Archaea; Methanobacteriati; Methanobacteriota; Methanomicrobia; Methanosarcinales
Description: bacterial SSU rRNA
Rfam family: Archaeal small subunit ribosomal RNA
Source: RNAcentral